GACCCGGUAGCUCAGUGGAUAGAGCAACGGACUUCGAAUCCGUUGGCCAGGCGUUCGAAUCGCCUCCGGGUCG
This 73-nucleotide transfer RNA is filed under the name Chloroflexi bacterium 13_1_40CM_3_70_6. RNAcentral describes it as "tRNA-Arg". It matches the Rfam family "tRNA". From Rfam's summary of the family: Transfer RNA (tRNA) molecules are approximately 80 nucleotides in length. Their secondary structure includes four short double-helical elements and three loops (D, anti-codon, and T loops). The record is from RNAcentral. Lineage: Bacteria; Bacillati; Chloroflexota.